GCUUACGGCAAUCCCGCGCUAGGGGGUUACUCACAGGGUACAUUGUUGCUCAAUCCAACCCUCGGGAAGGUCUGAGACGAGGCUUUUCUAAUUGUCGGAGAGAUGCUCUAGCCGGGCAGCCUUUUCGUAAGGGCGCAGGGGAAUAGAAAGGGUAUCGGUUGGAGCGUCGUUAGUCCCAAGAUGUCCUUUAGGAUUAGGCGGAGACCUCCAUCCGAUUGGAACUGCCUCUGUAGCUUGCUUUUUGAGUAUAAUCUGCGGGUUGUGAUUUGCCUUUAUAGGCUGAUUGCAAAACUCAAUUCAGACUAAUCUGCUGAAAGC
Daphnia pulex (common water flea) is the source of this 318-nucleotide non-coding RNA. The record is from Rfam. NCBI's taxonomy places the organism in Eukaryota, Metazoa, Arthropoda, Branchiopoda, Diplostraca, Daphniidae.